This 484-nucleotide ribosomal RNA is filed under the name uncultured bacterium. Its description in RNAcentral is "partial 16S ribosomal RNA". It matches the Rfam family "Bacterial small subunit ribosomal RNA", at positions 28 to 523 of the family's 1533-position model. The record is from RNAcentral.
GAUGAACGCUGGCGGCGUGCUUAACACAUGCAAGUCGAACGGUGAAGCAGGAGCUUGCUCUUGUGGAUCAGUGGCGAACGGGUGAGUAACACGUGAGCAACCUGCCCCUGACGCUGGGAUAAGCGCUGGAAACGGCGUCUAAUACUGGAUAUGUGAUGUGAUCGCAUUGUAUGCAUCGGGAAAGAAUUUCGGUUGGGGAUGGGCUCGCGGCCUAUCAGCUUGUUGGUGAGGUAAUGGCUCACCAAUGCGCCGACGGGUAGCCGGCCUGAGAGGGUGACCGGCCACACUGGGACUGAGACACGGCCCAGACUCCUACGGGAGGCAGCAGUGGGGAAUAUUGCACAAUGGGCGGAAGCCUGAUGCAGCAACGCCGCGUGAGGGAUGACGACCUUCGGGUUGUAAACCUCUUUUAGCAGGGAAGAAGCGAAAGUGACGGUACCUGCAGAAAAAGCACCGGCUAACUACGUGCCAGCAGCCGCCGUAA